Molecule: ribosomal RNA, 492 nt
Filed under: Erythrobacter sp. BW86-63
Lineage: Bacteria; Pseudomonadati; Pseudomonadota; Alphaproteobacteria; Sphingomonadales; Erythrobacteraceae
Description: bacterial SSU rRNA
Rfam family: Bacterial small subunit ribosomal RNA
Source: RNAcentral
UUAGAGUUUGAUCAUGGCUCAGAUUGAACGCUGGCGGCAGGCCUUAUAGAGUUUGAUCAUGGCUCAGAACGAACGCUGGCGGCAUGCCUAACACAUGCAAGUCGAACGAGACCUUCGGGUCUAGUGGCGCACGGGUGCGUAACGCGUGGGAACCUGCCUUUAGGUUCGGAAUAACUCAGAGAAAUUUGAGCUAAUACCGAAUAAUGUCUUCGGACCAAAGAUUUAUCGCCUUUAGAUGGGCCCGCGUAAGAUUACGACUAGUUGGUGGGGUAAUGGCCUACCAAGGCGACGAUCUUUAGCUGGUCUGAGAGGAUGAUCAGCCACACUGGGACUGAGACACGGCCCAGACUCCUACGGGAGGCAGCAGUGGGGAAUAUAGGACAAUGGGCGAAAGCCUGAUCCAGCAAUGCCGCGUGAGUGAUGAAGGCCUUAGGAAAGUAAAGCUCUUUUACCAGGGAUGAUAGAGACAGACCCUGAGAAUAAGCUCCGCAU